ACAGUUAGACACUGCUUUUGUGUGAGUUUUAACCCUCUGGAGUCGAUUAACGCGUAUACGCGUUUUGGGGUAUUUUCUCCUGAUAACCCCGAAAAGAACUUAAAUUACACUUUCAGUUUUGAUCGUACAGAGAAGAGCAAUACAUCAAUCGAAUCUGUAAAGGGUCUACUUUUUUUUGUAUACAGACAUAAUAACAACAAAACUUUGUGCACUUAUAAAAUAAAGAUAACAAACAAGGAGUGCUGUCUGCAGCCUUUGUCUGCGCUGAUCUUCAGUUACAAAUGCGUCAUUAAAAUGAACUGUAACUCAGUGAAUACUCAACGAAGAGACAUGAGAGAGAUAUCUAUAGAAAGCCUGACAUGUCUACUGGCGUAUUCAAGCCGCGCGCUUCAGUGAAACAUUAUCAUCUCAAAAGCGCGUUCAGCGCGGGGGCGUGGUCGCAUUAGAAGAUAAUGAAGGGAGACGUGAAAAAUGGACAUCGCGUUGUUUUCAUAUGGAUUACUUUAUCACAGAAUAUUUGUUUUCGGCAGCACUUGUUUAGUUUAAAAGUAGACACGUCAGGCUUUCUAUAGAUAUCUCUCUCAUGUCUCUGUGUUGAGUAUUCACUGAGUUACAGUUCAUUUUAAUGACGCGUUUGUAAAUGAAGAUCAGCGCAGACAGGCUGCAGACAGCACUCCUUGUUUGUUAUCUUUAUUUUAUAAGUGCACAAAGUUUUGUUAUGUCUGUAUACAAAAAAAGUAGACCCUUUACAGAUUCGAUUGAUGUAUUGCUCUUAUCUGUACGAUGAAAACUGAAAGUGUAAUUUAAGUUCUUUUUGGGGUUAUCAGGAGAAAAUACCCCAAAAUGCGUAUAAGCGUUAAUCGACUCCAGAGGUUUAAAUAGAGCAGCUACACCUCCAUCUAUCCUAACAGUCCUGCAGACACUCCUGCUGUCUUCUAGCAAUGUUUCGUUUAGAAACAUAAAAUCCAGAUUGUUUGUGGUUAUAAAGUCAUUGAUUAGAAAUUAUUUAUUUUUUAGUGAGCAAAUGUUUAAAAAUGCUAACUUGAUGGCAGUGCUUUAUGUCUUUACAUCAAUCUUAGUUUGAUGCAUAAUAGGCCGCAGAUUAGAUGAGUUUGCCCUUCGGCUUGAAAAGGUCUUAGACUUUCUAUCACGUGAUAAAACUGAAAUAGAGAAAGCUACAGGCACACUGAGUUCCCGCUUGUUCUGUAAACAUUUGUGAAUGUUGCUGCUAUUAUAGCGGGGACCCGACACAUAUCACUGAGAGCUGCUAUCAGUUGUUUUUGGUUCACCUACAGCAGAUGGAGUGUUUGGGCCCUAGCAUUGUGGCAGCGGUCGGAGAGCUCUCACAGGAGCAGGGCCCACAGGCUUUGGUGGUUGGGGGGCCCACUGUUUUUUUGUUGAUAUCUGUGGGCUUGCAGCGAAUGAGUGCGAGAGUUUAGUCCCAGCGUACACCAAUUCCUCCAUUUUCUGUGAGAAUCACAGAAGUGGAGAUACUGGAGAGAGGGAUAAUGUGUCCGGUGAGCGAGGCUGUGUCUCUGGUGUUUCUGGUGACUGUGAUAUGUUGUCCUGGCUUCCCUGGCUGUUUUCCAGAAAGUCGUCCUUGAGUGCUGAGUCUUGUAGCUGUUUUGAUACAUCACAGUCUGUCUUGAGGAGCUCUGUGGGUAGGGCUCAGCCGGGAUAGUGUUCAUCAGCAGUGCUUGUUGUGGCUGCAUGGUGUUAUCAGUGUCCUUGUGGGAUAUGUCAACCACAUGACUCGGACCUGGUGUGUGUGUGCUGAAUGAAUUGACACACUCUGCUGAAGGAUGAUGGAGGGAAAAGUAGAUAUUGUCCUUAAGCACUCUAGCACCAAGUUUGUUUGGGUGGAGGCCAUUCGGUUUAAACAGUUGUCUAUGGCCCUAGAAAAGAUUGAAGUUGUCAAUGAAAUUCACUCCUUUUAUAUUGCAAGAUCUUUGUAGCCAUUUGUUCAGCCCAAGCAACCGUGAAAACAUUUUUGUUCCCCUUGCUGGGAGUGGUCCACUGAUGAACGACUGAACUUUGUGUCUCCGAAGUGUUUCAAAGAGUUCACUGAAGUCCUUCUUAAGGAGUUCUGACUGCUCUUUCCGAAUAUCAUUCUUCCCCACAUGGAUGAUGAUUCGAUUUGCAGUCUUGUGCUUCAUCAGAAUGUUCUGAAGUUCCUUGUUCACAUCAGAGACUGUUGCUUGAGGAAGGCAGCAUGUUUUUGUAGUCCUGCUACUGAUGUUUCUGAUAAUAGAGUCACCCACUAUCAGAGUCCUGGGCUCGGCUGUGCUCUGAGCUGAACUCCGCUGUCUGCUCGACCUUGAGCACCUGUUAAUAGCGGUGUUAGCUGCUGGCUGAUCCGAUCCAUGUUUAAUCACAUUUGGGGAUUCCUCACCCGCAUUCAUUAAUGCUUCAAAUCUGUUCUCAAGAUGUAUAGGGGGUGGUAGAAUACCAGUAUUCACAAGCCUUGUCAUAGUUGAAUCUGGGGUAGAGGAUGCUACGGCAGCAAUACGAGAAACUCGUGACAAUCUGAUGUCUCGCGUUCCUUUGGGUCUCGUUCCCUGUUUGUGCCAUUGAUUAGUGUGGCGAUCAGUUUCGGCUUGUUCCUCUACACUUGGUAUAAACUGUUGAGAUUCAGAAGAUUCAUGGGACUCACCAGCUGUAUGCUGAGAGGGUCCAUGAUGACCGUCUGUUGAGUGUUUUGCCUGUUUUGGAAGUCCAGCAAGUAACUUUGUUUAAAGAACCACAAUCCUUUGUAGAAGUUUGCAGCAGUUCAUGCAACAAGUAUAUUCAACAGGAGGCAUUUUCUCUCUCUUCUGUUUGAAUGUAGGCAGUUGUUUUGUAAGCUGCUGGCAGUGGGAGGCAAAGUCCUGUUUUUGUAGUAUUAUUCCAGACCCAGAGAGUUUUUAGUUUUAGUGUUUGUGCCAAAAAUCUGUUGUUUGAGCACUGUGCUGAUCUGCUGAAGUAAAAAUCUUAAAAAAAAAAAAAAAAAUCAGAGAAAAGUACAGAAAUAAGAAGCAAAGCGCAGAGCAGUAAGCUACAACAUCCGAACGGUAGCGAAGCCGGAAGCAGAGAGACUUUGGGUGCACCUAAUUACGUUCCCUAGUCCAGUGGUCAGGGCACUGAACAGGGAGUCAGCCAUUUCAAGGGCUGUCUCAAUUGAGAAAUCCUCCAUGAAAAAUCCCACAAUGAGCCGCAAAAACUAGGGAGCAUUGAUGAUCACUAUGCUCCCUUACUGUAAAUUACAUCACAUUUCUGGAGCACGAAACAUAAACUACACAAGCUAACUUGAUAAAUAUAAAUGACGCGGUAGACAAACCCUUUUUAGUAUAUUUCAGCGUAAACAUACAUCACUAGACAGGUAGUGAACACAUCUAACAUUUAUAAUUAAUAUUCAGUUGAAAUAUUUUAAGGACAUGUAACAGAACAAUGUGUUUAAAGAGAAUAAUAAAUAAUAUUGAAAAGAAAUUGGUCCUGCCUAUUGAGUAAUCACUGUUCCAAUGUGUCCCGACUCGACGAGACAAAACCAAUAAAACCCAUUACAGACGAGGCUUUUGUUGCAUCCAUAAUUACACAUAAUUACUGACUGUGACGAGUGGGGCGGGGCCGAGAGCCGUGGGAACAGAGCGAGGCCGGUGGAGUGAUUGGGAAAUGAGCGACACCUGCUCCACUCACCGGUCUCGAGUCCCACGGAGGAGAUGGGAGGAUACAAAAGAGGAGCGACAACAGUGAAGGACGAGAGAGGACCAGGCCUGGGUUUUAUUUUGUGUUUGGGUUUUGUUUAUGCGCGGCAGUCGCCCGUGAGGGGCUGUCGCGCUGUUUUGUAUUUAUUUUGUCAUUAAAGAUUUAUUUGAGAGUUCGCCGGUUCCCGCCUCCUUCAUGGAUCAUGGAGUUUUUAUUGUUACACUGGUGCCGAAACCCGGGAGGAAGGAGGGACGCGCUGCCGAAGAUCCCUUGCCGC
Long non-coding RNA from Cyprinus carpio carpio, 3958 nucleotides. The record is from Ensembl. NCBI's taxonomy places the organism in Eukaryota, Metazoa, Chordata, Actinopteri, Cypriniformes, Cyprinidae.